Molecule: ribosomal RNA, 434 nt
Filed under: uncultured bacterium
Lineage: Bacteria
Description: partial 16S ribosomal RNA
Rfam family: Bacterial small subunit ribosomal RNA
Source: RNAcentral
AGCGAACGCUGGCGGCAGGCCUAACACAUGCAAGUCGAACGAACCUUUCGGGGUUAGUGGCGGACGGGUGAGUAACACGUGGGAACGUGCCUUUAGGUUCGGAAUAACUCAGGGAAACUUGUGCUAAUACCGAAUGUGCCCUUCGGGGGAAAGAUUAAUCGCCUUUAGAGCGGCCCGCGUCUGAUUAGCUAGUUGGUUGAGGUAAUGGCUCACCAAGGCGACGAUCAGUAGCUGGUCUGAGAGGAUGAUCAGCCACAUUGGGACUGAGACACGGCCCAAACUCCUAAGGGAGGCAGCAGUGGGGAAUCUUGCGCAAUGGGCGAAAGCCUGACGCAGCCAUGCCGCGUGAAUGAUGAAGGUCUUAGGAUUGUAAAAUUCUUUCAACGGGGACGAUAAUGACGGUACCCGGAGAAGAAGCCCCGGCUAACUUCGUG